This 465-nucleotide ribosomal RNA is filed under the name uncultured bacterium. Its description in RNAcentral is "partial 16S ribosomal RNA". It matches the Rfam family "Bacterial small subunit ribosomal RNA", at positions 28 to 507 of the family's 1533-position model. The record is from RNAcentral.
GAUGAACGCUGGCGGCGUGCUUAACACAUGCAAGUCGAACGGAAAGGCUCCUGCUUGCAGGGGUACUCGAGUGGCGAACGGGUGAGUAACACGUGGGUGAUCUGCCCUGCACUUCGGGAUAAGCCUGGGAAACUGGGUCUAAUACCGGAUAGGACCACAUUUUGGAUGGUGUGGCGGAAAGUUUUUCGGUGUGGGAUGAGCUCGCGGCCUAUCAGCUUGUUGGUGGGGUAAUGGCCUACCAAGGCGUCGACGGGUAGCCGGCCUGAGAGGGUGUACGGCCACAUUGGGACUGAGAUACGGCCCAGACUCCUACGGGAGGCAGCAGUGGGGAAUAUUGCACAAUGGGCGCAAGCCUGAUGCAGCGACGCCGCGUGGGGGAUGACGGCCUUCGGGUUGUAAACUCCUUUCGCUAGGGACGAAGCGCAAGUGACGGUACCUGGAGAAGAAGCACCGGCUAACUACGUG